Molecule: ribosomal RNA, 1098 nt
Filed under: Enterococcus faecium
Lineage: Bacteria; Bacillati; Bacillota; Bacilli; Lactobacillales; Enterococcaceae
Description: bacterial SSU rRNA
Rfam family: Bacterial small subunit ribosomal RNA
Source: RNAcentral
UCACCAAGGCCACGAUGCAUAGCCGACCUGAGAGGGUGAUCGGCCACAUUGGGACUGAGACACGGCCCAAACUCCUACGGGAGGCAGCAGUAGGGAAUCUUCGGCAAUGGACGAAAGUCUGACCGAGCAACGCCGCGUGAGUGAAGAAGGUUUUCGGAUCGUAAAACUCUGUUGUUAGAGAAGAACAAGGAUGAGAGUAACUGUUCAUCCCUUGACGGUAUCUAACCAGAAAGCCACGGCUAACUACGUGCCAGCAGCCGCGGUAAUACGUAGGUGGCAAGCGUUGUCCGGAUUUAUUGGGCGUAAAGCGAGCGCAGGCGGUUUCUUAAGUCUGAUGUGAAAGCCCCCGGCUCAACCGGGGAGGGUCAUUGGAAACUGGGAGACUUGAGUGCAGAAGAGGAGAGUGGAAUUCCAUGUGUAGCGGUGAAAUGCGUAGAUAUAUGGAGGAACACCAGUGGCGAAGGCGGCUCUCUGGUCUGUAACUGACGCUGAGGCUCGAAAGCGUGGGGAGCAAACAGGAUUAGAUACCCUGGUAGUCCACGCCGUAAACGAUGAGUGCUAAGUGUUGGAGGGUUUCCGCCCUUCAGUGCUGCAGCUAACGCAUUAAGCACUCCGCCUGGGGAGUACGACCGCAAGGUUGAAACUCAAAGGAAUUGACGGGGGCCCGCACAAGCGGUGGAGCAUGUGGUUUAAUUCGAAGCAACGCGAAGAACCUUACCAGGUCUUGACAUCCUUUGACCACUCUAGAGAUAGAGCUUCCCCUUCGGGGGCAAAGUGACAGGUGGUGCAUGGUUGUCGUCAGCUCGUGUCGUGAGAUGUUGGGUUAAGUCCCGCAACGAGCGCAACCCUUAUUGUUAGUUGCCAUCAUUCAGUUGGGCACUCUAGCAAGACUGCCGGUGACAAACCGGAGGAAGGUGGGGAUGACGUCAAAUCAUCAUGCCCCUUAUGACCUGGGCUACACACGUGCUACAAUGGGAAGUACAACGAGUUGCGAAGUCGCGAGGCUAAGCUAAUCUCUUAAAGCUUCUCUCAGUUCGGAUUGCAGGCUGCAACUCGCCUGCAUGAAGCCGGAAUCGCUAGUAAUCGCGGAUCAGCACG